AACGAUGGCUAAUACCGCAUGAUGCCUACGGGCCAAAGAGGGGGACCUUCGGGCCUCUCGCGUCAGGAUAUGCCUAGGUGGGAUUAGCUAGUUGGUGAGGUAAGGGCUCACCAAGGCGACGAUCCCUAGCUGGUCUGAGAGGAUGAUCAGCCACACUGGAACUGAGACACGGUCCAGACUCCUACGGGAGGCAGCAGUGGGGAAUAUUGCACAAUGGGCGCAAGCCUGAUGCAGCCAUGCCGCGUGUGUGAAGAAGGCCUUCGGGUUGUAAAGCACUUUCAGUCGUGAGGAAGGUAGUGUAGUUAAUAGCUGCAUUAUUUGACGUUAGCGACAGAAGAAGCACCGGCUAACUCCGUGCCAGCAGCCGCGGUAAUACGGAGGGUGCGAGCGUUAAUCGGAAUUACUGGGCGUAAAGCGCAUGC
RNAcentral lists this ribosomal RNA (422 nucleotides) under Vibrio sp. BTMV15. RNAcentral's name for it is "bacterial SSU rRNA". It matches the Rfam family "Bacterial small subunit ribosomal RNA", at positions 155 to 572 of the family's 1533-position model. The record is from RNAcentral. Lineage: Bacteria; Pseudomonadati; Pseudomonadota; Gammaproteobacteria; Vibrionales; Vibrionaceae.